This 389-nucleotide unclassified non-coding RNA is filed under the name uncultured Ascomycota. RNAcentral's name for it is "sequence contains ITS2". The stretch from base 1 to 154 matches the Rfam family "5.8S ribosomal RNA". Lineage: Eukaryota; Fungi; Ascomycota. The record is from RNAcentral.
AACUUUUAGCAACGGAUCUCUUGGUUCUCGCAUCGAUGUAGAACGCAGCGAAACGCGAUAGGUAAUGUGAAUUGCAGAAUUUAGUGAAUCAUCGAAUCUUUGAACGCACAUUGCGCUCCUUGGUAUUCCGAGGAGCAUAUCUGUUCGAGCGUCAUAUCUCUCUCAAGUCCACUGCUUCGCCGUGGGAGACUUGGUGCUGAGCUCGGAGAGCUGAGAAGCCUCUGGCUCCAAUUUCGCACGCUUGCGGUCCCCGUUGAACCUCAGACAUGAUAAACUUGACUGUUUGGUGCGUUCACGACGGCGGAUUCGCCACCGAAACCCCUCAAAAGUUUGACCUCGGAUCAGAUAAGGAUACCCGCUGAACUUAAGCAUAUCAAUAAGCGGAGGCU